GACGAACGCUGGCGGCGUGCUUAACACAUGCAAGUCGAACGGAAAGGCCCUGCUUUUGUGGGGUGCUCGAGUGGCGAACGGGUGAGUAACACGUGAGUAACCUGCCCUUGACUUUGGGAUAACUUCAGGAAACUGGGGCUAAUACCGGAUAGGAGCUCCUGCUGCAUGGUGGGGGUUGGAAAGUUUCGGCGGUUGGGGAUGGACUCGCGGCUUAUCAGCUUGUUGGUGGGGUAGUGGCUUACCAAGGCUCUGACGGGUAGCCGGCCUGGGAGGGUGACCGGCCACAUUGGGACUGAGAUACGGCCCAGACUCCUACGGGAGGCAGCAGUGGGGAAUAUUGCACAAUGGGCGGAAGCCUGAUGCAGCAACGCCGCGUGCGGGAUGACGGCCUUCGGGUUGUAAACCGCUUUCGCCUGUGACGAAGCGUGAGUGACGGUAAUGGGUAAAGAAGCACCGGCUAACUACGUG
This 468-nucleotide ribosomal RNA is filed under the name uncultured bacterium. RNAcentral describes it as "partial 16S ribosomal RNA". It matches the Rfam family "Bacterial small subunit ribosomal RNA", at positions 28 to 507 of the family's 1533-position model. The record is from RNAcentral.